Molecule: ribosomal RNA, 319 nt
Filed under: uncultured eukaryote
Lineage: Eukaryota
Description: partial 18S ribosomal RNA
Rfam family: Eukaryotic small subunit ribosomal RNA
Source: RNAcentral
CCCUUAGAUGUUCUGGGCCGCUCGCGCGCUACACUGAUGAAUUCAACGAGCCUAGCCUUGUCCGAAAGGUCCGGGUAAUCUCUGAAACUUCAUCGUGAUGGGGAUAGAUCAUUGCAAUUAUUGAUCUUCAACGAGGAAUUCCUAGUAAGCGCAAGUCAUCAGCUUGCGUUGAUUACGUCCCUGCCCUUUGUACACACCGCCCGUCGCUUGUACCGAUUGGAUGGUCCGGUGAAAUCUUCGGAUAGCUGGUAGUUGGCUUGCCAUCUACUGCUAAAAGUUGCUUAAACCUUAUCAUCUAGAGGAACAAGAAGUCGUAACA